UACUCAGGUGGCCUAGUGGUUAGAGCAUCCGCCUCGGAUGCAGGAGGUUGUGGGUUCGACCUCCGUAUGAGUCA
Non-coding RNA from Potamilus streckersoni, 74 nucleotides. The record is from the annotation of a GenBank genome assembly. NCBI's taxonomy places the organism in Eukaryota, Metazoa, Mollusca, Bivalvia, Unionida, Unionidae.